AUUGAACGCUGGCGGAAUGCUUUACACAUGCAAGUCGAACGGCAGCACGAGGGCAACCUUGGUGGCGAGUGGCGAACGGGUGAGUAAUACAUCGGAACGUGCCCAGUCGUGGGGGAUAACGUAGCGAAAGCUACGCUAAUACCGCAUACGAUCUAUGGAUGAAAGCGGGGGACCGUAAGGCCUCGCGCGAUUGGAGCGGCCGAUGGCAGAUUAGGUAGUUGGUGGGGUAAAGGCUCACCAAGCCUGCGAUCUGUAGCUGGUCUGAGAGGACGACCAGCCACACUGGAACUGAGACACGGUCCAGACUCCUACGGGAGGCAGCAGUGGGGAAUUUUGGACAAUGGGCGCAAGCCUGAUCCAGCCAUUCCGCGUGCAGGAUGAAGGCCU
RNAcentral lists this ribosomal RNA (387 nucleotides) under uncultured bacterium. Its description in RNAcentral is "bacterial SSU rRNA". It matches the Rfam family "Bacterial small subunit ribosomal RNA", at positions 30 to 417 of the family's 1533-position model. The record is from RNAcentral.